Molecule: ribosomal RNA, 1504 nt
Filed under: Limosilactobacillus fermentum
Lineage: Bacteria; Bacillati; Bacillota; Bacilli; Lactobacillales; Lactobacillaceae
Description: bacterial SSU rRNA
Rfam family: Bacterial small subunit ribosomal RNA
Source: RNAcentral
GAUGAACGCCGGCGGUGUGCCUAAUACAUGCAAGUCGAACGCGUUGGCCCAAUUGAUUGAUGGUGCUUGCACCUGAUUGAUUUUGGUCGCCAACGAGUGGCGGACGGGUGAGUAACACGUAGGUAACCUGCCCAGAAGCGGGGGACAACAUUUGGAAACAGAUGCUAAUACCGCAUAACAGCGUUGUUCGCAUGAACAACGCUUAAAAGAUGGCUUCUCGCUAUCACUUCUGGAUGGACCUGCGGUGCAUUAGCUUGUUGGUGGGGUAACGGCCUACCAAGGCGAUGAUGCAUAGCCGAGUUGAGAGACUGAUCGGCCACAAUGGGACUGAGACACGGCCCAUACUCCUACGGGAGGCAGCAGUAGGGAAUCUUCCACAAUGGGCGCAAGCCUGAUGGAGCAACACCGCGUGAGUGAAGAAGGGUUUCGGCUCGUAAAGCUCUGUUGUUAAAGAAGAACACGUAUGAGAGUAACUGUUCAUACGUUGACGGUAUUUAACCAGAAAGUCACGGCUAACUACGUGCCAGCAGCCGCGGUAAUACGUAGGUGGCAAGCGUUAUCCGGAUUUAUUGGGCGUAAAGAGAGUGCAGGCGGUUUUCUAAGUCUGAUGUGAAAGCCUUCGGCUUAACCGGAGAAGUGCAUCGGAAACUGGAUAACUUGAGUGCAGAAGAGGGUAGUGGAACUCCAUGUGUAGCGGUGGAAUGCGUAGAUAUAUGGAAGAACACCAGUGGCGAAGGCGGCUACCUGGUCUGCAACUGACGCUGAGACUCGAAAGCAUGGGUAGCGAACAGGAUUAGAUACCCUGGUAGUCCAUGCCGUAAACGAUGAGUGCUAGGUGUUGGAGGGUUUCCGCCCUUCAGUGCCGGAGCUAACGCAUUAAGCACUCCGCCUGGGGAGUACGACCGCAAGGUUGAAACUCAAAGGAAUUGACGGGGGCCCGCACAAGCGGUGGAGCAUGUGGUUUAAUUCGAAGCUACGCGAAGAACCUUACCAGGUCUUGACAUCUUGCGCCAACCCUAGAGAUAGGGCGUUUCCUUCGGGAACGCAAUGACAGGUGGUGCAUGGUCGUCGUCAGCUCGUGUCGUGAGAUGUUGGGUUAAGUCCCGCAACGAGCGCAACCCUUGUUACUAGUUGCCAGCAUUAAGUUGGGCACUCUAGUGAGACUGCCGGUGACAAACCGGAGGAAGGUGGGGACGACGUCAGAUCAUCAUGCCCCUUAUGACCUGGGCUACACACGUGCUACAAUGGACGGUACAACGAGUCGCGAACUCGCGAGGGCAAGCAAAUCUCUUAAAACCGUUCUCAGUUCGGACUGCAGGCUGCAACUCGCCUGCACGAAGUCGGAAUCGCUAGUAAUCGCGGAUCAGCAUGCCGCGGUGAAUACGUUCCCGGGCCUUGUACACACCGCCCGUCACACCAUGAGAGUUUGUAACACCCAAAGUCGGUGGGGUAACCUUUUAGGAGCCAGCCGCCUAAGGUGGGACAGAUGAUUAGGGUGAAUCUA